RNAcentral lists this long non-coding RNA (254 nucleotides) under Mytilus galloprovincialis (Mediterranean mussel). The record is from RNAcentral. Lineage: Eukaryota; Metazoa; Mollusca; Bivalvia; Mytilida; Mytilidae.
AUCAGUCUCAGCUUGUUUGUCAACAACACCUUUCUCGUAAUACUGGACUAGAUUGAUGACAAUAUUUGCUUGGUCUUGGGUAAGGCCUCCCUUAAACAUGGCUCUCUCUGUGGAAAGGCUCUUGUCUGACUAAAAUCUCCAGCUCCUUGAUAUAAUACUUUCACUAAACGACUCUUGCUACCCUGCUAAAAAAAAAAACAAAAAAAAAACACUAAGAUAAUUACUUCUAGAAGGAAUUAAUUGACAAUUCAGCC